AAACCAGCACCUCAAGUGGUCAGGAUGAUUAUUGGGCCUAAAGCAUCCGUAGCCGGCUCUGUAAGUUUUCGGUCAAAUCUGUACGCUCAACGUACAGGCUGCCGGGAAUACUGCAGAGCUAGGGAGUGGGAGAGGUAGACGGUACUCGGGAGGAAGGGGUAAAAUCCUUUGAUCUCUCGAUGACCACCUGUGGCGAAGGCGGUCUACCAGAACACGUCCGACGGUGAGGGAUGAAAGCUGGGGGAGCAAACCGGAUUAGAAACCCGUGUAGUCC
RNAcentral lists this ribosomal RNA (274 nucleotides) under uncultured bacterium. RNAcentral describes it as "partial 16S ribosomal RNA". It matches the Rfam family "Archaeal small subunit ribosomal RNA", at positions 473 to 747 of the family's 1478-position model. The record is from RNAcentral.